Molecule: unclassified non-coding RNA, 225 nt
Filed under: Glomeraceae sp.
Lineage: Eukaryota; Fungi; Glomeromycota; Glomeromycetes; Glomerales; Glomeraceae
Description: partial contains 5.8S ribosomal RNA and internal transcribed spacer 2
Rfam family: 5.8S ribosomal RNA (bases 1-71)
Source: RNAcentral
GUGAAUCAUCGAAUCUUUGAACGCAAAUUGCACUCCCUGGUAUUCCGGGGAGUAUGCCUGUUUGAGGGUCGUUAGAAUAAAAAAUCGAAGCGUUGCUCUUUUUUUUAAGGGUUAGCGUGUCGGGAUGGAGCCGUCUUUCAAAUGUUAAUUUGUGUUGAAGUUGCUUAUAAUUCAUCCAGCCGGUACGAUUAAAGCGUAUUUAAUACCAAUGUUGAUCAGUAACUU